This 484-nucleotide ribosomal RNA is filed under the name uncultured bacterium. RNAcentral describes it as "partial 16S ribosomal RNA". It matches the Rfam family "Bacterial small subunit ribosomal RNA", at positions 30 to 507 of the family's 1533-position model. The record is from RNAcentral.
AUUGAACGCUGGCGGCAGGCCUAACACAUGCAAGUCGAGCGGGAGCUGGGAGCUUGCUCCUGGACGCAGCGGCGGACGGGUGAGACAUGCCUAGGAAUCUGCCUGGUAGUGGGGGAUAACGUCCGGAAACGGGCGCUAAUACCGCAUACGUCCUGAGGGCGAAAGUGGGGGAUCUUCGGACCUCACGCCAUCAGAGGAGCCUAGGUCUGAAUAGCUAGUAGGUGGGGUAAAUGCCUACCAAGGCGACGCUGCGUAACUGGUCUGAGAGGAUGAUCAGUCACACUGUAAGUGAGACAGGGUCCAGACUCCUACGGUGGGACGCAGUGGGGAAUAUUGGACGAUGGAGGAAUGCCGGAUCCAGGCAUGCCGCGUGAAUGAUGAUGGUCUUCGGCCUGUAGAGCGCUGUAGGUUGGGAGGUAGGAAAGUACGUUAAUACCUGGCUGUUAUGACGUUACCGGCAGAAUAAGCUCCGGCUAACUUCGUG